UACGUAGGGGGCAAGCGUUGUCCGGAAUCAUUGGGCGUAAAGAGCGUGUAGGCGGCUCGAUAAGUCUGCUGUGAAAGUCCAGGGCUCAACCCUGGAAGGCCGGUGGAAACUGUCGGGCUAGAGUCCGGAAGAGGCGAGUGGAAUUCCCGGUGUAGCGGUGAAAUGCGCAGAUAUCGGGAGGAACACCAAUGGCGAAGGCAGCUCGCUGGGACGGUACUGACGCUGAGGCGCGAAAGCUAGGGGAGCAAACGGG
RNAcentral lists this ribosomal RNA (253 nucleotides) under uncultured bacterium. Its description in RNAcentral is "partial 16S ribosomal RNA". It matches the Rfam family "Bacterial small subunit ribosomal RNA", at positions 524 to 776 of the family's 1533-position model. The record is from RNAcentral.